UCCCGCACAAGCGGUGGAGCAUGUGGUUUAAUUCUGAAGCUACGUCGCAGAACCUUACCAUCCUUUGACAUGGCGUGUUACCCAGAGAGAUUUGGGGUCCACUUCGGUGGCGUCGCACACAGGUGCUGCAUGGCUGUCGUCAGCUCGUUUCGUGAGAUGUUGGGUUAAGUCCCGCAAUCGAGCGCAACCCACGUCCUUAGUUGCCAUCAUUCAGUUGGGCACUCUAGGGAGACUGCCGGUGAUAACCGCGAGGAAGGUGUGGAUGACGUCAAGUCCUCAUGGCCCUUACGGGAUGGGCUACACACGUGCUACAAUGGCGUGUGACAGUGGGACGCGAAGGAGCUGAUCUGGAG
RNAcentral lists this ribosomal RNA (353 nucleotides) under Methylobacterium sp. RNAcentral describes it as "bacterial SSU rRNA". It matches the Rfam family "Bacterial small subunit ribosomal RNA", at positions 920 to 1267 of the family's 1533-position model. Lineage: Bacteria; Pseudomonadati; Pseudomonadota; Alphaproteobacteria; Hyphomicrobiales; Methylobacteriaceae. The record is from RNAcentral.